This 240-nucleotide ribosomal RNA is filed under the name uncultured bacterium. RNAcentral describes it as "partial 16S ribosomal RNA". It matches the Rfam family "Bacterial small subunit ribosomal RNA", at positions 537 to 776 of the family's 1533-position model. The record is from RNAcentral.
AGCGUUAAUCGGAAUUACUGGGCGUAAAGGGCGCGUAGGCGGCCUGUUAAGUCGAACGUGAAAUCCCCGGGCUCAACCCGGGAACUGCGUCCGAUACUGGCAGGCUUGAAUUCGGGAGAGGGAUGCGGAAUUCCAGGUGUAGCGGUGAAAUGCGUAGAUAUCUGGAGGAACACCGGUGGCGAAGGCGGCAUCCUGGACCGAGAUUGACGCUGAUGCGCGAAAGCCAGGGGAGCAAACGGG